This is a long non-coding RNA of Coregonus clupeaformis (lake whitefish), 608 nucleotides long. RefSeq lists it as uncharacterized. NCBI's taxonomy places the organism in Eukaryota, Metazoa, Chordata, Actinopteri, Salmoniformes, Salmonidae. The transcript has 3 exons. The record is from RefSeq and is a predicted model, not a curated record.
CCCUGAGGAGGAGAGGGUCACAGACAGAUAGAUAGAGGGAAGGCUGUUACAGGUCACCCUGAGGAGGAGAGGGUCACAGACAGAUAGAUAGAGGGAAGGCUGUUACAGGUCACCCUGAGGAGGAGAGGGUCACAGACAGGUAGAUAGAGGGAAGGCUGUUACAGGUCACCCUGAGGAGGAGAGGGUCACAGACAGAUAGAUAGAGGGAAGACUGUUACAGGUCAUCCUGAGGAGGAGAGGGUCACAGACAAAUAGAUAGAUGGAAGACUGUUACAGGUCACCCUGAGGAGGAGAGGGUCACAGACAGACGGGGAAGGCUGUUACAGGUCACCCUGAGGAGGAGAGGGUCACAGACAGAUAGGUUUUGGGAAGAGUGUUACAGGUCACCCUGUGGAGGAGAGGGUCAUAGACAGAUAUAUAGAGGGAAGAGUGUUACAGGUCACCCUGAGGAGGAGAGGGUCACAGACGGACAGGGAAGACUGUUACAGGUCACCCUGAGGAGGAGAGGGUCACAGACAGACGGGGAAGACUGUUACAGGUCACCCUGAGGAGGAGAGGGUCACAGACAGAUAGAUAGAGGGAAGACUGUUACAGGUCACCCUGAGGAG